This 376-nucleotide ribosomal RNA is filed under the name uncultured bacterium. RNAcentral's name for it is "bacterial SSU rRNA". It matches the Rfam family "Bacterial small subunit ribosomal RNA", at positions 524 to 898 of the family's 1533-position model. The record is from RNAcentral.
UACAGGGGGUGCAAACGUUGCUCGGAAUUAUUGGGCGUAAAGCGCGCGUAGGCGGUCUCUUAAGUCGGAUGUGAAAGCCCUCGGCUCAACUGAGGAAGUGCACCCGAAACUGAGAGGCUUGAGUACAAAAGAGGGUCGCGGAAUUCCCGGUGUAGAGGUGAAAUUCGUAGAUAUCGGGAGGAACACCGGUGGCGAAGGCGGCGACCUGGGUUGAUACUGACGCUGAGGCGCGAAAGCGUGGGGAGCAAACAGGAUUAGAUACCCUGGUAGUCCACGCCGUAAACGAUGAGUGCUAGAUGUUUCUGGUAUUGACCCCGGAGGCGUCGUAGCUAACGCGUUAAGCACUCCGCCUGGGGAGUACGGCCGCAAGGCUAAA